Eriocheir sinensis (Chinese mitten crab) is the source of this 380-nucleotide long non-coding RNA. RefSeq lists it as uncharacterized. The transcript has 3 exons. NCBI's taxonomy places the organism in Eukaryota, Metazoa, Arthropoda, Malacostraca, Decapoda, Varunidae. The record is from RefSeq and is a predicted model, not a curated record.
ACAGAAUCCAUGAGUGUGUUAGCUACAUCAUCGGUUUAAUUAUAUAAGUAAUGAUAACACGGGAAAAUAUAGGUUCGUGUGGCUACAGAAUCCAUGAGUGUGUUAGCUACAUCAUCGGUUUAAUUAUAUAAGUAAUGAUAACACGGGAAAAUAUAGGUUCGUGUGGCUACAGAAUCCAUGAGUGUGUUAGCUACAUCAUCGGUUUAAUUAUAUAAGUAAUGAUAACACGGGAAAAUAUAGGUUCGUGUGACCACAGAAUCCAUGAAUAAAGAAGACAAAAAAGAUGAAUAUAAAAACCUAAAAAAAUAAACAGAAACGUCUAACCUAACCAAACCCCAGACAGAGUGCGUACAUCGGAGAGUCAGUCAUCUUGUGGAGCA